CUCUCCUUUAAAACUGGUAUCUUUGGGGCAGGGGCCGGGUGAGUAUGGGUUAGUAGAGGAACAUGAUUAAUUUAAAGAUUUCAAAGGAAUAGCAUACCUAGCCUUACACAUGCCUGAUAAUUGAAGAGCCAGUGAUUUGCAAUGUGCUGUGUGAUUUACUUAAAGGCUACUCGUUUUCCUUUGUAACCUAACAAAAUGUACUCAUUUAUUAUAUGCAGUUUGGUUUGUAAAACCCACUUUCUGACUGUAUAAAAGAGAGAAACGUUUCUGUCAUUCCCUUUGGAUGUUGUUAAGUUCUGUUAUGUGAAAUUUUUUGGCAAAUAAAAUAUUAUUCAUAUAUGUCUUGCUGAGUAACAUUUUAUUGGGUUUCCCUUGCAAUCAUUAAGAUGAACUACACCCUUAUUCCUU
This 408-nucleotide long non-coding RNA is filed under the name Bos taurus (domestic cattle). RNAcentral describes it as "long non-coding RNA NONBTAT013875". The record is from RNAcentral. Lineage: Eukaryota; Metazoa; Chordata; Mammalia; Artiodactyla; Bovidae.